CCUACGGGAGGCAGCAGUGGGGAAUAUUGGACAAUGGGGGGAACCCUGAUCCAGCGACGCCGCGUGAGUGAAGAAGUAUUUCGGUAUGUAAAGCUCUAUCAGCAGGGAAGAAAGAAAUGACGGUACCUGACUAAGAAGCACCGGCUAACUACGAGCCAGCAGCCGCGGGAAUACGUAGGGGGCAAGCGUUAUACGGAUUUACUGGGUGGAAAGGGAGCGUAGACGGCGAUGCAAGUCUGAAGUGAAAGGCGGGGGCCCAACCCCUGGACUGCUUUGGAAACUGUAUGGCUGGUGUGCAGGAGAGGUCAGUGGAAUUCCUAGUGUAGCGGUGACAUGCGUAGAUAUUAGGAGGAACACCAGUGGCGAAGGCGGCUUACUGGACUGUACCUGACGUUGAGGCUCGAAAGCGUGGGGAGCAAACAGGAUUAGAUACCCCAGUAGUC
Molecule: ribosomal RNA, 443 nt
Filed under: uncultured bacterium
Lineage: Bacteria
Description: partial 16S ribosomal RNA
Rfam family: Bacterial small subunit ribosomal RNA
Source: RNAcentral